RNAcentral lists this transfer RNA (73 nucleotides) under Felis catus (domestic cat). It matches the Rfam family "tRNA". From Rfam's summary of the family: Transfer RNA (tRNA) molecules are approximately 80 nucleotides in length. Their secondary structure includes four short double-helical elements and three loops (D, anti-codon, and T loops). Lineage: Eukaryota; Metazoa; Chordata; Mammalia; Carnivora; Felidae. The record is from Rfam by way of RNAcentral. RNAcentral also lists the same sequence under 2 other names.
UCUUGACUGGCUCAAUCAGUGGAGCAUGUGACUCUUGAUCUCAGGGUCAUGAGUUCAAGUCCCAUGUUGGGUG